Long non-coding RNA from Chinchilla lanigera (long-tailed chinchilla), 938 nucleotides. RefSeq lists it as uncharacterized. The transcript is spliced from 5 exons. NCBI's taxonomy places the organism in Eukaryota, Metazoa, Chordata, Mammalia, Rodentia, Chinchillidae. The record is from RefSeq and is a predicted model, not a curated record.
AGGAACACCACUGUCUGCCAUGGUUCCGCCACACCCCAAGGCCCAUAGAGAAAGGACUGGAAAAGGUGGAAUAUUUUCAAAAAGUGGAACUCAAACAGAGUAAAAGAGUGGUUACCAGAGGCUACAGGCUGGAAGACUUGGAGAGAUGUUAAAGGACACAACACUUCAGUUAGGAGAAAGAAGUUCAAGCAACUUAUUGUACAUUGUGGAACCUAUUGGAGGGAGCCAGAGAGCUAAUGAUUCAAAACUUAGAGUAUGUUAGCAUCAAGAAGGAUCUCAGGAUGCAAAUCCAAACCUUCACCCGGCAAAUGAAUGAACUUGGGUUCGCUGAGAGCAAGCACUUGCCCAAAAUCCCUAAGACAGAGUGACAGGCACAGAGGACGGGGCUGAUUUGCCACUUCCCAUUCUAAGUGUGACCUCUGUCCUCAAGUCUGCCUACGCAGCGACCCUCAGACCAUGGCUCAACAAAACCACACAGCAGCCCUGGCUCUGGCUCUGCUCCCUCGCUUGAGUCCAAAAUCACAAAAGGAUGGACUGGCUGCAUCUAUGCCUCACUGUUUCAGAAGAAGAAAAGAUGGACCUCAGGGCCUCACCUGUGCUAAGCAAGUGCUCCACCACUGAGCCACGAACAUCCCCAGCCUUUAUGUUUUACGUGCAGUCUUGAAUUGUCUACUUAAUCACCGUGAGCCUCAGUUUCCAACAGGGAUAAAACUAAUACUACUUUAUAGAACUAUUUUGCUGAAGACUAAACAGGAUCAUUUCUGUAGAACACUCAGUAAAGUGUCUGACACACAGGAAUGCCUUGUAGCCUAGAGCUAUGCAUGACAUCAGAACAAAUGGGGGAACCAGAGCCUCUCUAACUUACUUUUUAUCUCACUUGUAUCUUUAGCUCUUCAUAAUUCUCCGAAUGCAAUUCCCAAAAUAAAAUCUGGUCAUGU